AUAUUCGAGACAUCUUUGAAUGAACCAAGUUUUGCACUUCCAUCGACGAUUUUGAUCACAUUCUCGUCCUGCAGCGCAGACCUGAUGCGUAUCGAGUUCAUCUCCAUGUCAUCCAGGUAUCGGACCGUGACCCAAUUGUCAUGCGUGAAUAGAAGAUGGAAAUGUCCACAAAAUUGUGUCUUGAAGUAUUCCAUCGCCUCUUCAUACUGUGAUCGAUUCAGAACGCGCCCGUUCAAAGAUCAGAAUGUGGCCACCACUUCCCGUUAACGUCGUUUCUUUGUAGGGAGACUGGCUGCAAGCAUCACGACCUCGUGCAGUCACCCUCGGGCUCUCUGUCGCAGAGCGUCAAGUUAUAGAACACACCAAGACUCAGGAGCUCGCAUCUGUCAACCAGGACACACCGGGUAUGCUUCUGUGCAACCCUUCCACCAGUUUGCACCUUUGCUGUACCAGUGCACCCUCUUUGGUCACUUUAUGUGCGCAUUGGGAGAGGCAUAUGUGCAAGUGCUGCAUAUGACAUACCAUGGCCGCAGCAAGAAUUCAGUCGUGCAUGUGGUGCCCCCUCAGGUCGACCCGCUGCGCAGCCCAAGGCCUAGCAGCCCAGGGUCUAGCAGCCCAGAUCCCCAGACGAGCCAGAGCUCUCCUAUUGGUCGGUAGGUCAUUUUCACCUAAUGAGCUCUUUCAACUCCAACACCAAUGGCUUCUAUUGAGCCCCGAUGUCUUCAUUGGCUCUGGAAAUUGUGUGGCCCUGAUGUGUGUGGUGGAUCACUCCAGCACAACCGGGACGAGUUCGUCGGCGCGGUUGCCACGCUCUCGUUCUUCCUUGCAGCUCUGUUCUUUUCUCUCACAAGAUGAACAAAGAUUCUUCUUAUCCUGGGCACUCUUGAAUAAAGAUUCUUGAUGCAUGUGGUGCAAAAGUGCCUGAUGAUUAUUUGAACACGCGACUUCAUUCUGUUUGGCAGGUGAGAUGAUUGACAAAAUUGGAAGAUGGCCGUCGCGAUUGAAAAGGACAGGCUCGCCGCCCAGACAUAUGUUUUGAUAGCCGGGAUUGUGUUC
RNAcentral lists this long non-coding RNA (1056 nucleotides) under Coccomyxa subellipsoidea. RNAcentral's name for it is "long non-coding RNA (CSUB_LNC000337)". The record is from RNAcentral. Lineage: Eukaryota; Viridiplantae; Chlorophyta; Trebouxiophyceae; Coccomyxaceae.